GAUGAACGCUAGCUACAGGCUUAACACAUGCAAGUCGCGGGGCAGCAUGGGGGUUGCUUGCAAUCCCCGAUGGCGACCGGCGCACGGGUGAGUAACGCGUAUCCAACCUGCCCUUCACCACGGGAUAACCCGGCGAAAGUCGGACUAAUACCGUAUGUUGUCCAUUGACGGCAUCCGAUUUGGACGAAAGGCUUGGCGGUGAGGGAUGGGGAUGCGUCCGAUUAGCCAGACGGCGGGGUAACGGCCCACCGUGGCUACGAUCGGUAGGGGUUCUGAGAGGAAGGUCCCCCACACUGGAACUGAGACACGGUCCAGACUCCUACGGGAGGCAGCAGUGAGGAAUAUUGGUCAAUGGGCGUAAGCCUGAGCCAGCCAAGUAGCGUGCAGGAUGACGGCCCUAUGGGUUGUAAACUGCUUUUAUGCGGGGAUAAAGUGGCCCACGGGUGGGCUUUUGCAGGUACCGCAUGAAUAAGGACCGGCUAAUUCCGUG
Molecule: ribosomal RNA, 490 nt
Filed under: uncultured bacterium
Lineage: Bacteria
Description: partial 16S ribosomal RNA
Rfam family: Bacterial small subunit ribosomal RNA
Source: RNAcentral